This is a long non-coding RNA of Sander lucioperca (pikeperch), 340 nucleotides long. RefSeq lists it as uncharacterized. Lineage: Eukaryota; Metazoa; Chordata; Actinopteri; Perciformes; Percidae. The record is from RefSeq and is a predicted model, not a curated record. The transcript is spliced from 4 exons.
GUCUCCUUUACAACACCAUGGACGACAAGAGAUUCAUCUUAGAGGUUGAAAAUCACAAAUCCUUUUUAUAAGGGCAACACCAGAAAAGAGAAGGCAUGGAGUUUAACUGUAGGAGUGCUUGGAGUGGAAGGUAGAUACUAGCUUAAUAAACACGUGAUUGUUCUGUACUUGUAGAGACAAUAAAAUCUGCGGGUCGGGCAGCAAGACGCUCCGCUUCUGAGACGCUCCCGGUGUGGUACAGCGUGUGGUGGAGGACGGAACCAAACGACGGAACGCAGCACACAAGUGCCAGGUGGAGAAUGAGAGUAACAUGGAUAAAGAGUUCCCUCAGUCAACAAAG